This 497-nucleotide ribosomal RNA is filed under the name uncultured bacterium. RNAcentral's name for it is "partial 16S ribosomal RNA". It matches the Rfam family "Bacterial small subunit ribosomal RNA", at positions 28 to 507 of the family's 1533-position model. The record is from RNAcentral.
GACGAACGCUGGCGGCGUGCCUAAUACAUGCAAGUUGAGCGCUGAAGGUUGGUACUUGUACCAACUGGAUGAGCAGCGAACGGGUGAGUAACGCGUGGGGAAUCUGCCUUUGAGCGGGGGACAACAUUUGGAAACGAAUGCUAAUACCGCAUAAAAACUUUAAACACAAGUUUUAAGUUUGAAAGAUGCAAUUGCAUCACUCAAAGAUGAUCCCGCGUUGUAUUAGCUAGUUGGUGAGGUAAAGGCUCACCAAGGCGAUGAUACAUAGCCGACCUGAGAGGGUGAUCGGCCACAUUGGGACUGAGACACGGCCCAAACGCCUACGGGAGGCAGCAGUAGGGAAUCUUCGGCAAUGGACGAAAGUCUGACCGAGCAACGCCGCGUGAGAGAAGAAGGUUUUCGGAUCGUAAAACUCGGUUGGUAGAGAAGAACGUUGGUGAGAGUGGAAAGCUCAUCAAGUGACGGUAACUACCCAGAAAGGGACGGCUAACUACGUG